This 230-nucleotide ribosomal RNA is filed under the name uncultured bacterium. RNAcentral's name for it is "partial 16S ribosomal RNA". It matches the Rfam family "Bacterial small subunit ribosomal RNA", at positions 568 to 796 of the family's 1533-position model. The record is from RNAcentral.
CGUGUAGGCGGACUCGCAAGUCGGUUGUGAAAUCCCUGGGCUUAACCUAGGAACUGCAUCCGAAACUGCUUGUCUUGAGUAAUGGAGAGGGUGGCGGAAUUCCCGGUGUAGAGGUGAAAUUCGUAGAUAUCGGGAGGAACAUCAGUGGCGAAGGCGGCCACCUGGACAUUUACUGACGCUGAGACGCGAAAGCGUGGGGAGCAAACAGGAUUAGAUACCCCUGGUAGUCC